This 394-nucleotide ribosomal RNA is filed under the name uncultured bacterium. RNAcentral's name for it is "bacterial SSU rRNA". It matches the Rfam family "Bacterial small subunit ribosomal RNA", at positions 505 to 898 of the family's 1533-position model. The record is from RNAcentral.
GUGUCAGCCGCCGCGGUAAAACGUAGGAGGCGAGCGUUAUCCGGAUUUACUGGGCGUAAAGCGCACGCAGGCGGCUCUGUGAGUCGGACGUGAAAGCUCCUGGCUUAACUGGGAGAGGUCGUUCGAUACUGCAGGGCUUGAGGUUGGGAGAGGGGUGUGGAAUUCCCGGUGUAGUGGUGGAAUGCGUAGAUAUCGGGAGGAACACCAGUGGCGAAAGCGGCACCCUGGCCCACACCUGACGCUGAGGUGCGAAAGCGUGGGUAGCAAACAGGAUUAGAUACCCUGGUAGUCCACGCUGUAAACGAUGUCAACUAGGUGUUGGUGGUGUUACACUAUCAGUGCCGUAGCAAACGCGUUAAGUUGACCGCCUGGGGACUACGGCCGCAAGGCUAAA